Molecule: unclassified non-coding RNA, 1454 nt
Filed under: Neodiprion pinetum (white pine sawfly)
Lineage: Eukaryota; Metazoa; Arthropoda; Insecta; Hymenoptera; Diprionidae
Description: odorant receptor 22c-like, transcript variant X2
Source: RNAcentral
ACCUGACUGCGUGGUUCAAUCGUGAACGAAUCUCCGAAGCUAAUAGAUCGGUAUCUUCUUUGGCCGACGAAAUUUUCAAUAGUGAAGAGUGCAAAACGCAAUGUUGGAACAGUCCAAAGUCAUGAUUACACAGGAGAACCAUAAUUUUAGCAAUCAAUUCACCACAGCGAUUUGUGGCCUGCGUUACGUUAUGAUUUAUUUGGGAGUUUGGCCAGGACAAAAAUAUCAAAACUUGUAUCGUUUCAUUUGGUUUUUUCACUUGGCAAGUUUGAUAUUUCUAGCUUCCGGUUCAGUAGGUGGCAUCGUCUUACUAAGACACGACAUAAAUAAACUCAUCAACAACUUAAGUAUGUCAAGUCCAAUGAUACUCAUUUCCUGUAAGUGGCUUACAUUUUCGUUGCGUCAGAAACUGUGCAAAAAGCUUAUGCAUUCCAUGGACGAAGAUUGGGUCAACUUGAGCAAAGAUACUUUUAUUUAUAAAAGUGUGCCGGAUUCUAAACGUGUAAUCACCAAUCAUUAUCAAGCUUCGACUGUUUUCGUCUACACCUUUUUGAUCGUAGCUACUAUUGCAACCAUUAAUUUUGCGACUGAUUCUUUUCUCUCUCUAAGCAAUCGCGAUAAUAAUACUGAUCAGGAUAAUCUCUUGCCAAUGCCAUACAGCUGGUAUCCUGUAGAUUACAACAGAUCGGGUUAUAUUGUUCAGUUCUUGGUGGUCGCUCAAAUAAUCAGUAUGGUGACAACAUUUCUGGCAACAACUGCAGUAGACGGCUUCUUCGUUGCUGCGAUUCUACACGUGAGCAGUCAACUCAAGAUUCUAACAUAUUUCGUCGAAGGAAUCGCUUAUAGACCGUCACAUCCCGAACAUUACAGAAUAGAGAUUAGAGAAAUGGUGAAACGCCAUCAGGUGCUGUUGAACUGCCACGCUGCAAGAAUUUUACAGGCUCAUUGCUCUGCAGCAUGUAAUGGCGUGUGUGCUUGCUCUUUGCUUCCUCGAGUGUUCAUUUCUCAUGGAACUACAAGAAAAUGGAGCGAGCAAAACAAUUUUGUUAAAGUUUGGACUUUUCGCUAUCGGAUCGUUGGAGACUGCCUUUAUCUACUGUUUUGCCGGGCUAUGCUCUCGGAUUGGCGAUCUACAGUUCCAAAUGGUACAAUUUCGAAAGAUCGAUAAAUCUUUCGUUGUCAAUAGUAAUGAUCAGAGCACAGAAGCCGAUAGAGAUUAGCGCAGCCAACAUUUUUCCUCUCACGUUAGAAAAUUUCACAGUCAUAGUCAAGGUAGCUGCAUCAUAUCUCUCUACUCUACGAGCUUACAGUAUGGCGGAAGCUUAAAAAAAUUUCAUUACAGCCAUUCAACGAGUGCAAGACAAAACAAAACUAACGGGAACACCGAUUGACCAAGCUACAGAAUAAAUUAAAUAGAAUAUGAAGUGCAAAAUAAACUCGAGCAUCUCUUGAGA